This 397-nucleotide ribosomal RNA is filed under the name uncultured bacterium. Its description in RNAcentral is "partial 16S ribosomal RNA". It matches the Rfam family "Bacterial small subunit ribosomal RNA", at positions 523 to 918 of the family's 1533-position model. The record is from RNAcentral.
AUACGUAGGGGGCGAGCGUUGUCCGGAAUGAUUGGGCGUAAAGGGCGCGUAGGCGGCCCGGUAAGUCUGGAGUGAAAGUCCUGUUUUUAAGAUGGGAAUUGCUUUGGAUACUGUCGGGCUUGAGUGCAGGAGAGGUAAGUGGAAUUCCCAGUGUAGCGGUGAAAUGCGUAGAGAUUGGGAGGAACACCAGUGGCGAAGGCGACUUACUGGACUGUAAAUGACGCUGAGGCGUGAAAGUGUGGGGAGCAAACAGGAUUAGAUACCCUGGUAGUCCACACUGUAAACGAUGAAUGCUAGGUGUAGGGGGUAUCGACCCCUUCUGUGCCGCAGUCAACACAAUAAGCAUUCCGCCUGGGGAGUACGGCCGCAAGGUUGAAACUCAAAGGAAUUGACGGGG